RNAcentral lists this ribosomal RNA (458 nucleotides) under uncultured bacterium. RNAcentral's name for it is "partial 16S ribosomal RNA". It matches the Rfam family "Bacterial small subunit ribosomal RNA", at positions 338 to 795 of the family's 1533-position model. The record is from RNAcentral.
CCUACGGGAGGCAGCAGUGAGGAAUAUUGGUCAAUGGCGGAAGCCUGAACCAGCCAAGUAGCGUUCGGGAUGAAGGCCCUACGGGUCGUAAACCGCUUUUUCACGGGGAUAACACCCUCCACUUGUGGAGGUCUUCAGGUACCGUUCGACUAAGGGCCGGCUCAUUCCGUGCCAUCAGCCGCGGUAAUACGGAAGGCCCGAGCGUUAUCCGGAUUCAUUGGGCUUAAAGGGAGCGUAGGCGGGCUUUCAAGUCAGCUUUAAAAUCGCGCGGAUCAACCGCGCCCCGCCGUUGAAACUGGACGCCUUGAGUUCACAAGAGGCAGGCGGGAUUCGUGGUGUAGCGGGGAAAUGCAGAGAUAUAACGAGGAACCCCGAUUGCGAAGGCAGCCUGGCGGGGUGCGACUGACGCUGAGGCUCGAAGGUGCGGGUAUCAAACAGGAUUAGAUACCCCUGUAGUC